CCUACGGGAGGCAGCAGUGAGGAAUAUUGGUCAAUGGUCGAGAGACUGAACCAGCCAAGCCGCGUGAGGGAUGAAGGUCCAGAGUAUCGUAAACCUCUUUUGUCAGGGAAUAAAGGCAGGGACGUGUCCCCGUAUGAGUGUACCUUAUGAAAAAUCAUCGGCUAACUCCGUGCCAGCAGCCGCGGUAAUACGGAGGAUCCGAGCGUUAUCCGGAUUUAUUGGGUUUAAAGGGUGCGCAGGCGGUCUGUUAAGUCAGGUGUGAAAGCCGGGGGCUCAACCCUACGACCGCGUUUGAAACUGGCAGUCUCGAGUUGGAGAGAGGUAUGCGGAAUGCGCGGUGUAGCGGUGAAAUGCAUAGAUAUCGCGCAGAACCCCGAUUGCGAAGGCAGCAUGCCGGCUCCAGACUGACGCUGAGGCACGAAAGCGUGGGUAUCGAACAGGAUUAGAUACCCUGGUAGUC
RNAcentral lists this ribosomal RNA (460 nucleotides) under uncultured bacterium. Its description in RNAcentral is "partial 16S ribosomal RNA". It matches the Rfam family "Bacterial small subunit ribosomal RNA", at positions 338 to 795 of the family's 1533-position model. The record is from RNAcentral.